AAUCAACGCUGGCGGCGUGCCUCAGACAUGCAAGUCGAACGCGAAAUUUCCCUUCGGGGAGAAAGUAGAGUGGCGCACGGGUGAGUAGCACGUGGGUAAUUUACCUUCGGGUGGGGAAUAACGUCUCGAAAGAGACGCUAAUACCGCAUGAUGCAGCGGCACCACAUGGCGACAGUUGUUAAAGCGGGGGAGUCGCAAGACCUCGCGCCUGAAGAGAAGCCCGCGGCAGAUUAGCUAGUUGGUAAGGUAAUGGCUUACCAAGGCAACGAUCUGUAGCCGGCCUGAGAGGGCGGUCGGCCACACUGACACUGAAUAACGGGUCAGACUCCUACGGGAGGCAGCAGUCGGGAAUUUUGGGCGAAUGGGCGAAAGCCUGACCCACGCAACGCCGCGUGAAGGAUGAAGUAUUUCGGUA
This 415-nucleotide ribosomal RNA is filed under the name uncultured bacterium. RNAcentral's name for it is "bacterial SSU rRNA". It matches the Rfam family "Bacterial small subunit ribosomal RNA", at positions 32 to 423 of the family's 1533-position model. The record is from RNAcentral.